This 252-nucleotide ribosomal RNA is filed under the name uncultured bacterium. RNAcentral's name for it is "partial 16S ribosomal RNA". It matches the Rfam family "Bacterial small subunit ribosomal RNA", at positions 103 to 354 of the family's 1533-position model. The record is from RNAcentral.
CGGGUGAGUAACACGUAUGCAACCUGCCUGCCACAGCCGGAUAAUCGGGAGAAAUUCCGUCUAAUACGGCAUAAUGCAUCGACGGGACAUCCUGUUGGUGCCAAAGGUUAAUUCCGGUGGCGGAUGGGCAUGCGUCGCAUUAGUUAGUUGCGGUGUAACGGACCACCAAGACGACGAUGCGUAGGGGUUCUGAGAGGAAGGUCCCCCACACUGGUACUGAGACACGGACCAGACUCCUACGGAAGGCAGCAG